GGACAAAGCAAAGCAGGGCCACGCGUUGGGGUGAGCGCAGGUUUGGGCACUCGGAAGCCCUCCUUCGUCCCCACAACCAGAGGGAGGCCCAUAUCCCCUGCGGUGGCCCGGAGGUGAGCCUUCCCUCCCCAAGGCCCCGGUGGGGCUUUCUCUCUUACCAAUCGCACAGCCACUGUCUCCUGCAGCAGGGAACUCAUGUGCUCUUCCCUGCGUGUCAUCUUCCUCCUGCUACAGACACAGGGGAUUUGGUGUGUGAGAAGAGGCCUCGGCCGGCACCAGGACCUCACCCCCUCCCCACGCCCCCCAUCCCAAUGUGGCCACGGGGACCCGAGGCAGCUGCCCGGCCUCUGCUGGAGCUGGGGCGGGCACCUCUGGGUGCCAGACGUGCACAGGCC
RNAcentral lists this long non-coding RNA (395 nucleotides) under Gallus gallus (chicken). Its description in RNAcentral is "lncRNA (ENSGALG00010011324.1)". The record is from RNAcentral. Lineage: Eukaryota; Metazoa; Chordata; Aves; Galliformes; Phasianidae.